This 454-nucleotide ribosomal RNA is filed under the name Uroptychus longvae. RNAcentral's name for it is "partial large subunit ribosomal RNA". It matches the Rfam family "Bacterial large subunit ribosomal RNA", at positions 1955 to 2608 of the family's 2925-position model. Lineage: Eukaryota; Metazoa; Arthropoda; Malacostraca; Decapoda; Chirostylidae. The record is from RNAcentral.
AGUAGCAUAAUCAAUAGUCUUUUAAUUGAAGGCUUGAAUGAACGGUUGAACGAGAAAUAUACUGUCUCUAGCAAAUAAAUUGAAAUUUACUUUUAAGUGAAAAGGCUUAAAUACAUUUAAGGGACGAUAAGACCCUAUAAAGCUUCAUAUUAAAUAUUGUAUAAUUUUAUAAACAGAACUAAAAUAUAAUAAACAAUAAAUAAUAUUUUAUUGGGGUGAUAUAAAUAUAAUAAUUAACUAUUCUAACUCUUUUACAAUAGUAUUUGAUUUAAACUAUAAAGAUCCUUUAUUUAAGAUUUUAAGAUCAAGUUACUUUAGGGAUAACAGCGUUAUUUUUUUUAAGAGUCCUCAUCAAAAAAAAAAAUUGCGACCUCGAUGUUGAAUUAAAAUAUCUUUAUGGUGCAGAAGCUAUACAAGAAAGUCUGUUCGACUUUUAAAUUUUUACACGAUUUGG